UUUAAGUUUGGCUCUGGCUUAUAUUAUAAAUAAAUCUUUAUAAAAUACAUGGUUUGUUAUCAACAAGGCAAAGCCUAAGUAAUUUGCACUAAAUUUAAGAUUACUUGUAAAUUACCUUAAGGGUUAUUAUCUUAAUACAUGAUAACACUAAUCUUUGCUAACCCAGUAUUGAAGAUUAAAAACAAAAGAAAUUUAGAUUUAGUAAUAGAUAUUAUUCUUGGCUAAGUCUGUGCCAGCAGCUGCGGUUAUACAGACAAGGAAAUUUAUAAAUGAAUCGGUAAAAAGGACAGUUAUAGAAUUAACCAUAAGUUAAAUCGUUUCAUGAAGAGGUAGAAUUCACACAUGAUCCAUUUCCUAACUAACUUAACUCUCUAGAAGCUGUGAAAUUACUAAUCAAAACCAGGAUUAGAUACCCUGCUAUUAGUAACAUAAAUUUUUUUUCCUCCUCAUUAACCACCAGGGAAUUACAGAGUUAUCUCUGAAACCCAAAGAGCUUGGCGGUACCUCAAACCCCAUUAGGGGAACCUGUUCCAUAAUCGAUAAUCCGCGCAGGACCUUACUUUCUUUUACUUAGUUUGUAUACCGUCGUCGUCAGACAACUUUUAAGAAAAUAGUAGUUCUCUACAAUAAACUGUUUAUAGACGUCAGAUCAAGGUGCAGCCAAUAAGAAAGAGAGAAAUGGGUUACAAUUUUUAAAUUGAAAUACGGACUUUUAGUUGAAACACUUUAACAAAGGAGGACUUAAAAGUAAUUCUAGUAAGAAUAAAUGAAUGAAUAAGGCUCUGAGGUGUGCACACAUCGCCCGUCGCUCUCGCUGAAAAGUGAGAUAAGUCGUAACAUAGUAAGAGUAAUGGAAGUUGCCCUUAGUUGAGU
Molecule: non-coding RNA, 873 nt
Filed under: Nerita albicilla
Lineage: Eukaryota; Metazoa; Mollusca; Gastropoda; Cycloneritida; Neritidae
Source: RNAcentral